Molecule: ribosomal RNA, 363 nt
Filed under: Phycisphaeraceae bacterium
Lineage: Bacteria; Pseudomonadati; Planctomycetota; Phycisphaerae; Phycisphaerales; Phycisphaeraceae
Description: bacterial LSU rRNA
Rfam family: Bacterial large subunit ribosomal RNA
Source: RNAcentral
GUGAUUAAGCUAUUAAGAGCGUGCGGCGGAUGACUUGGCGUCAAGAGGCGAUGAAGGACGUCGGAGCCUGCGAAAAGCCCAGAGGAGCUGGCAACCAAGCUGUGAUCCUGGGAUGUCCGAAUGGGGAAACCCUUCCCGACUUGUCGGGAAAUCCAUGCCUGAAUGUAUAGGGUAUGGAGGCUAACCUGGGGAAUUGAAACAUCUUAGUACCCAGAGGAAAAGAAAGAAACCUCGAUUCCGUCAGUAGCGGCGAGCGAACGCGGAUCAGCCCAAACCGCCCCUCGGGGCGGGGUUGUGGACACCAACGUGGUACGGUCGAAUUUGUUGCGAAGUGUCUGAAAAGGCAAACCAAAGAAGGUGAUA